This 490-nucleotide ribosomal RNA is filed under the name uncultured bacterium. Its description in RNAcentral is "bacterial SSU rRNA". It matches the Rfam family "Bacterial small subunit ribosomal RNA", at positions 24 to 518 of the family's 1533-position model. The record is from RNAcentral.
UCAGGACGAACGCUGGCGGCAUGCCUAACACAUGCAAGUCGAACGGAAGUAGAAAUACUUAGUGGCGAACGGGUGAGUAACACGUGAGCAACCUGCCUUAUACACAGGGAUAACAGUUGGAAACGACUGCUAAUACCGGAUAAGACCACACUAUGGCAUCAUAGAGGGGUCAAAGCGAAUAAGCGGUAUAAGAUGGGCUCGCGUCCAAUUAGCUAGUUGGUGAGGUAACGGCCCACCAAGGCGACGAUUGGUAGCCGACUUGAGAGAGUGAUCGGCCACACUGGAACUGAGACACGGUCCAGACUCCUACGGGAGGCAGCAGUGGGGAAUAUUGGUCAAUAGACGAGAGUCUGAACCAGCCAAGUCGCGUGCAGGAAGAAUGUCCUUAAUGGAUUGUAAACUGCUUUUGCAGGGGAAUAAAGUGCAUCACGUGUGAUGUUUUGUAUGUACUCUGCGAAUAAGGAUCGGCUAACUCCGUGCCAGCAGCCGC